Molecule: long non-coding RNA, 472 nt
Organism: Lates calcarifer (barramundi perch)
Lineage: Eukaryota; Metazoa; Chordata; Actinopteri; Centropomidae
Exons: 3
Source: RefSeq, a predicted model, not a curated record
GGCCAGCUGACCACGCUUAAUGAGUGCAUUUACAGAUCCAUGGAGCGCUCACGCUACGUCCUGCUGAACGACAUAGAUGAGAUUAUAAUGCCGUACCAACACAACGACCUGAAGGCUCUAAUGAAAACACUCCAAGAGCAGCAUCCAAAGGCUCAGGUGUUCCUCAUAGAGAACCAUACCUUUCCCAAGAAACCCUUUGAGGAAAAUAAAAAAGGUCCGGCUGCCUCGAUGGAGAGGGGUGCCAGGCUUUAAUAUUCUGGAGCACAUCUACAGGGAGGAGCCAAACAGAAACAUAUAUCACCCCCACAAGCUGAUAGUUCAGCCAAGGGCGGUGGAGCAGACCUCAGUGCAUGAGGUGCUCAAGAUGUUUGGAGAAAAGUUCAAGGUUCCACUGGAGGUCUGUCGGAUCAUUCACUCCCCAAUCAGAACCCCGACGCCAGGUCCCGCUAGAGAUGCUCCACAUGGACACCCG